RNAcentral lists this transfer RNA (87 nucleotides) under Elusimicrobiota bacterium. RNAcentral describes it as "tRNA-Ser". It matches the Rfam family "tRNA". Rfam says of the family: Transfer RNA (tRNA) molecules are approximately 80 nucleotides in length. Their secondary structure includes four short double-helical elements and three loops (D, anti-codon, and T loops). The record is from RNAcentral. Lineage: Bacteria; Pseudomonadati; Elusimicrobiota.
GGAGAGAUGACCGAGCGGCUUAAGGUGGCAGUCUUGAAAACUGCUGCGGGGGAAACUCUGCCGGGGGUUCAAAUCCCUCUCUCUCCG